GAUGAACGCUGGCGGCGUGCCUAAUACAUGCAAGUCGAGCGAACAGAUGAGGAGCUUGCUCCUCUGACGUUAGCGGCGGACGGGUGAGUAACACGUGGAUAACCUACCUAUAAGACUGGGAUAACUUCGGGAAACCGGAGCUAAUACCGGAUAAUAUAUUGAACCGCAUGGUUCAAUAGUGAAAGACGGUUUUGCUGUCACUUAUAGAUGGAUCCGCGCCGCAUUAGCUAGUUGGUAAGGUAACGGCUUACCAAGGCAACGAUGCGUAGCCGACCUGAGAGGGUGAUCGGCCACACUGGAACGGAGACACGGUACAGACGCCUACGGGAGGCAGCAGUAGGGAAUCGUCCGCAAUGGGCGAAAGCCUGACGGAGCAACGCCGCGUGAGUGAUGAAGGUCUUCGGAUCGUAAAACUCUGUUAGUAGGGAAGAACAAAUGGGUAAGUAACUAUGCACGGCUUGACGGUACCUAAUCAGAAAGCCACGGCUAACUACGUG
Molecule: ribosomal RNA, 497 nt
Filed under: uncultured bacterium
Lineage: Bacteria
Description: partial 16S ribosomal RNA
Rfam family: Bacterial small subunit ribosomal RNA
Source: RNAcentral